UACGAAGGGGGCUAGCGUUGCUCGGAAUUACUGGGCGUAAAGGGCGCGUAGGCGGCACUGUUAGUCAGGCGUGAAAGUCCUGGGCUCAACCUGGGAACUGCGCUUGAUACGGCAGAGCUAGAGGAUGGAAGAGGCUCGCGGAAUUCCCAGUGUAGAGGUGAAAUUCGUAGAUAUUGGGAAGAACACCGGUGGCGAAGGCGGCGAGCUGGUCCAUUACUGACGCUGAGGCGCGACAGCGUGGGGAGCAAACGGG
This 253-nucleotide ribosomal RNA is filed under the name uncultured bacterium. RNAcentral's name for it is "partial 16S ribosomal RNA". It matches the Rfam family "Bacterial small subunit ribosomal RNA", at positions 524 to 776 of the family's 1533-position model. The record is from RNAcentral.